Molecule: non-coding RNA, 5474 nt
Organism: Triticum urartu
Lineage: Eukaryota; Viridiplantae; Streptophyta; Magnoliopsida; Poales; Poaceae
Source: RefSeq, a predicted model, not a curated record
CUUUCCUUUUAUUUCCGUCACGAACCAAGCAGAGCUCCACUUUCCUUUUAUUUCCGCCGCCACGCCAUCUCGGCGAAGCCGCGUCCGGCAAGGACAAUGCUCCGGCUGCCGCCACCGCCUCUACCCCGGCUAUAAAGGCGCGCCCUUUGGUCGGCCUGCUCCUCGUCCUCCUCCUCACUUCGUCCGGACCGCGCCUUCCCCCUCCUCGUCGCGCUCUGCCCGGUCCGCUCCCCCUCCUCCUCUCUUCGCCCGGGCCGUGCCUUCCUCCUCCUCGCCGCGGUACGGCCGGUCCGUUGCUCCUCCACCCUUGGUCCGGGCCGUGCGUAUGACCUCCUCGAGCCGGGUUUUAUCUUGCUCGCCCUCCUCGGUCGAUUUGCCCGUUUAGAAUCGCGUCUGGAUUUGAUUUUGCUCGUCCUCGAUCGAUUUGCCCGUUCAGAGUCGCGUCCGGAUUUGAUUUUGCUUGCUCGUCCUAGCCGUAGCCGGUUUAGAUGGAAAUCCCGCCUGAUUUGAUGUUGCUCGUACGUCCUCGCCGUCGUUCGUUUAGGACUGCGUCCGAUUUGAGUUUGCUCGUGCUCAGUUCGUCCGUUUAGAGUCGCCUCCGAGUUGAUUUUGCUCGUCCCCGCCGUCGUCAGUCUAGAGUCGCUUCUGAUUUGGUUCUGCCCGUCCUCGCCGUCAUCCGUUUUCGUUUUGCUCGUCCUCGCCGUUGCCCCGACGCGCCCGCAUGUUCUUGGCCCGCCUCGUCGAGAGUCUCCGUCCUCGGUUUGUUCGCGAUUGAGAAAUUUCUGCGUGCGCUUCUGUUGUCUAAUAGACACUUUAGAUCCUGCGGUUUGUGUUCGUGUCAGCGCGAGCGUUGCAGGAACGGUCGGGUGGUUUUGAAAUUGGGUUACGGUCGGAGAUGGAGAGACGGAGAGUAAUUGUCAGUUUGGCGUGCUAGUUCAGAUCGGUUCCUAGGCUCCUGCGUUGUUCGUCAGUCGUUUUUCAGAUCUCAAACGGCUAGCUUUGUUCGUGUUCGUCCGUGGAGACGUGCCCUUUGAUGCUCUGGUUCCUCUAGUUCAGAUUGUACCAGCUAGCUUUUCACUUUCGUCAGGCAUGUGUGCUCUCAUCCUAGAUGCAGGGGUCAUUUGUUCUGAUGGGUGUUAGUGUUACUGCUUCUGUUCUUUUCAAUUGGUUACUUCCUAUCAUGCUUUGCUUAUGUUCCAUAUAUGGUGAUGUGUGUUCAGGGGUGCAAACCAUGUAGGCCGUGGGUGCCAUUUCCAGCAGGCAACAGAGCAGAAAGUUUUCAAAGAGUGCAAAUCCUUGUUUUCUUCCUCGUCUUGCUGUUUCCAUUUUCAUACAGGAGUACUAGAUGAGGUGCUGCUAGUCCCUUAGAUUUCGUACUAGAUUGCAUAGCAUGACUCUAGAAUUUUUUCAUUGCACACCUGGGCAUAUGAUUCUGAUGUGAGCAUAAUAAUUCUAGAGUUUAUUUAUCUGUGAAAGCACGCUCAUCACAUGUUUUUAUUAAUGCUGCUCACUUUUGUCAUGUCCCUUUUGUUUGCCCUGUUAAAAUUUUUGGUUAAAAUAUCAAGAAUGCUGACUUCUGUGUUUGUCGCUAUGUAAGCCAUGCACUUGGGAAGCCUGGGCAUGCUUAGGAUUUGGAUUGCAUAUAGAUUUUAUGCUAUGUUUGUUUAUAACCUAGUUGUGACAUAAUAUAGUGUAAAUCUGCUAAUUUUUUAAUUUAAUUUAUGUUCAAUGCAAGUAGGUUUUGUUCGUAAGUGGUAUUUCUUUUGCGUGUGCAUGAACAUUCACGCUGUCAAUUUUUCUUAUCAUAAUCAUUUACCGUGGUGUUUGACAAUACAUUACUACUGUUCUUUGUUCCCUUUUGAGGUUCACUGACUCAAUUUACCAUGAGAUUUGAUGGCACUUACUGAUGUCCAGUCACUGAAAUAAUAUGCUUUUCUUGCUUUGCCUAGACUUUGUGACAAGAAUAAGCAUGCGUCUCUGUGCCUACAAACUUGUGGGUAGUGAUGAAGAUCUAACCAGCUUCCUAUUUUCAGGAAUGAACAUCUGAAUUACCCUCACCCCUCUACAGAAAUCAGUUUACAGUUUACUAAUUCAGUUUCUAGAACUUCUUUAUAGCUUUCUGAGUUUACUUCGGGCUUUCAUGUGUUAGCUUUUUGUUUGUACCCUUAUCUAUGUCUGUUUCUUUGUGUGUUUCUUGUGUGCAAGUGCUCCAUUGUGUGUGUGUGUGACUGUUUGUGUGAUGUGCCCCUAUCUAUGUAUGUUUCCUUGUCUGCUUCAUGUGUGCAAGUGCUCCAUUGUCUAUGUGUGACUGUGUUUGACUGCUUAGAUGGGGUGAUUCUGAUUGUGUUACUGCUUAUAUGGUCUAUCCAAUUGGUUUCAUAUUCAUGCUUUGCUUGUGUUCCAAUGUCGUCUUCCCAUAUAUGGGGAUGUGUUCAGGGAUGCAAACCAUUUAGGGCGUUUCGAGCAGGCAGGGAUCCAGAGGCGUGCACUGUUCAGGCUUCUCUCCUAGUGAUAGGUGAUGAUAGGCUGAGCAGAAAAGUUUGACUCUUUAACACUCACUUGCUUGGCUUCCACUCCUUUGCGUGGCCGAUUUGGCAUCCAAUGCAUCCCAUGCCCUUUUCCUUGUUUAUCUCACUCACUCAUCACAACACCCUUUUCCCUGUUUUUGUUCCUUAAUUUUUCUUAUCAUAAUAAUCAUGUUUACCGUGGUCUUUGACAAUACAUUUUUUGUGAUAUAUGUGUUUCUUUAUGUCUUAUGUGGAUAUCAUAUUCUUUUUUUUCGUAUUACUGUUGUCCAAUCACUGGAAUAAUGCUUUUUCUAAGUAUUUCAGGUAGGAUAUAGACAAAUGUCAUAUUUGCUCUUCCUUGUGUUGCUAAGUACACUGAUGGGUUGGGUUUGCUUACAACGCAGGACAGAUAAUUCUAUAAAGAAUCAUUGGAAUAUUUCUUUGAGAAAGACGUUAGGUGUCUAUAGCACCAGAAAUAUUUUGGCAAUUCCAAGACUAAUUGGCCUUGAUGACUUAUGGAUAAACAGAAGACGGUUGCUUCUGAGUGCCAUCUUGAUCUGAACAGCUCAUCAUUCUAAUCUUAGCUCACCUCUACAGUCAUACAAACUGGCAUGCCAAUGACUGCUCGGGGUUCCUAUCGCUUUCUGUUUUACCAACCAAGGUAAUCAAAUUUUGAUCUUCAGCUUGCAAAUUUAUCACCUUAUGGGAGGGAAAGGUUUGCAUGUACGCGAGCUCUGAUUUUCUACAUAUAUACUUGAAUUGAUUUGGAUUUGUCAGAUUACUAUUGUACAUGAUGUUCUCCAUGAUUCACUUGAUUUGUUAAUUUUGAUAUUUUCCUGGUGAGUUCUUUAGGUUCAUCUUGUGACACAAAAUACAAUUUUGGUACGUGCAAACUCUGAAAUUUGGUGAUAAAGAAGGUACCUCCUAAUUUGCUCUCUAGCUCUCUUACACUUGUCUUUGUUUAUAUAACAGUAGUAGCCUCCUGGCCUGUACUCCCUCCGUCCGAAUAUACUUGUCAUCAAAAUGGAUAAAAGGGGAUGUAUCUAGACAUAUUUUAGUUUUAGAUACAUCUAUUUUUAUCCAUUUUGAUGACAAGUAUUUCCGGACGGAGGGAGUAGUUGGGUAAUGCAGAGAGAGGUUUGGAAUCGAAGAACUAAAAUAAUGCAGAGGUUAAGCUUCUGAACGGGAAGCUUGAACAAAUAGUUUACUUUUUCUCAUGUCUUCGAUUAGUUUCAUCCUAUCUAUGUCUAUUUCUUGGGUGCAAACACUCCAUUGUGUCUGUGUGAUUGUGUGUGUGGCCGUGACUGUGUGUGUGACUGAUUGUUUGUGUGUGUGACUGACUGUGUGUGUUUCUUUGUCUGUUUCUUGUGUGCAAGCGCUCCAUUGUGUGUGUGUGUGUGUGUGUGUUUUGACUGUGACUCUGUGUCAUUUUUUGACUGUGACUGUGUAUUGAUUGUGACUGUGUAUGUCUGUGUGUGUGUGUUGAUUGACUGUUUGUGUGUGUGUGUGACUGACUGUGUGUGUGUGUGUUUCUUUGUCUGUUUUUUGUGUGUAAGCGCUCCAUUGUGUGUGUGUGUGUGUGUUUUGACUGUGACUCUAUGUCAUUUUUUGACUGUGAUUGUGUAUUGAUUGUGAUUGUGUAUGUCUGUGUGUGUGUGUUGACUGACUGUGUGUCAUUGUGCAAUUGCUCCAUAACUACCAGUUGGCACCUGAUAAUGCAUGGAUAUUUCUAUAUAAGGUCAUGGGCAUGUAAUUUUUAUGAUCUACAUACCUCUGUAGUUGGUAGUAUCAUUGCCCUUUGGACACUCUUCAAUGCAUUGAUGUAUAUUUUCCUGCCACAAGUAUGAUGUUUCUGCUCAGAAUGAUGUAUAUGUAGAAUCCAGGGGUGGAUGGAGGUUUUCAUGAUGGCUAAUUUGAUUUGUUAUGGUUCUGAUGGUGUGCUUCUGGUGUUUGAACUGAAGCCGUGGAUCACCCAUCAACCUGGUCUGUGUUUGUAUGUUGAAUUAUUUCCGGAUAGGACAGAGGUGCAAUGUUUACAUCCAUGGCAGAAGGUUCUUUAACACUGAACUCAUCAAAGGUCCUUGGACUCAAGAGGAAGAUGACAAAAUUAUUGACCUUGUAAACAAGUAUGGUCUAACAAAAUAGUCUCAUUGCAAGGUCAGCUACCAGAACUUCCUACUGCUGAUCCUGGGAUGUUUCCGAGCAUGCUCCCGAACAUGUUCAAUUUAUCCGCCCUAGUACAGUUUAUUUCGUGAUGGCAGAAUGAACCCACCCGUGAUCUAUCACGCUUCUUUAUUAUUCAAUGUUUUGUUAUUACUUUCUAAUUCUUUCUCCCCUUUGCAUCGAUCCACUUGCUAUGCAGCCACUGCCAUGAAACAGCAGGUUAGUUGACAUGCUCGGCGUGUUUAGCUCAGUGGACUUCCUCCGAUCGUUAAUGAACAGAUGGUUACUCUAUUCUUCAAUCAAGUUAUGGCUGCUAUCGGGGGAAACACAUUUGGUUUGGGUGAUGCAGUUGUUAAUAUGAAGCUGAUUUCUGAAUUCAUUCAAAAUAUCUUAGGUGGCAUAAUCAUCUGAAUCCAACCAUAUGGAACGAUGCUUGGACUACUGAGGAGGAACAUGCACUGAUUAAUGCCAUCAGGUAUAUGGGAAUAAAUGAGCAGAAAUAGCAAAAGUUAUUCCUGGAAGGUACUGCAUGCCAAACAACUUACAUCAUGGGUCUUGCUUGUAGUAUUAGCUUUCUGUUUGUGCCCUUUCUAUCUCUUGUGUGUGUGACUGAUUGUGUGUGUGUGUGUGACUCUGUCUAUGUGUGUGACUGACUCUGUGUGAUUGUUACUGUGUGUGUGAGACUGAUUGUGUGUGACUGACUCUGUGUGUCACCGACUGUGUGUGCUUGAUGGUGUGUCCUGUAUGCUUUGCUUGAUGAUGUGUCUUGUAUGAUUUGCUUGAUGAUGUGUCAUGUAUGCUUUG